Molecule: ribosomal RNA, 468 nt
Filed under: uncultured bacterium
Lineage: Bacteria
Description: partial 16S ribosomal RNA
Rfam family: Bacterial small subunit ribosomal RNA
Source: RNAcentral
GACGAACGCUGGCGGCGUGCUUAACACAUGCAAGUCGAACGGAAAGGCCCUGCUUUUGUGGGGUGCUCGAGUGGCGAACGGGUGAGUAACACGUGAGUAACCUGCCCUUGACUUUGGGAUAACUUCAGGAAACUGGGGCUACUAUCGGAUAGGAGCUCCUGCUGCAUGGUGGGGGUUGGAAAGUUUCGGCGGUCGGGGAUGGACUCGCGGCUUAUCAGCUUGUUGGUGGGGUAGUGGCUUACCAAGGGUUUGACGGGUAGCCGGCCUGAGAGGGUGACCGGCCACAUGGGGACUAAGAGACGGCCCAGACUCCUACGGGAGGCAGCAGUGGGGAAUAUGGCACAAUGGGCGGAAGCCUGAUGCAGCAACGCCGCGGGCGGGAUGACGGCCUUCGGGGUGUAAACCGCUUUCGCCUGUGACGAAGCGUGAGUGACGGUAAUGAGUAAAGAAGCACCGGCUAACUACGUG